GGCUUGAGACGGCAGUCCAUCCUUGACUACGCCGCCCCGCACGUCUUUUAGUAGGGUUAUUUUUAUUUCGACCCCUUUCGGCGCGUAAGACUUGGCGUGUAGAGCCCCGAGGACGCUCUGCCGACCAACACCAAGGAGUGCCGCCAGGCCCGGGGCCCCCACAAUGCACUUGAAGCGGGUUGCAGCUCCCAGGCACUGGAUGCGGGACAAACUGACGGAUGUGUUUUCUGUUUUUGCAUUUGGUCCCUUCUUUCUCAGAGUCCCAACCUCAGAGGCAGGACAUCGGAGGAGUGGGAGCACAGAGGGAGUAAAGGAGUCAAGCCAUUGCGUGGGCAGCCUUGCCUAAACAAGUGCCAGAGUUGUUUGUUUAUUGGGUUUCUUGGUGUACAUGCCUGCUCCUGCUGCCUAGGCAAACAGCAUCUUUGCAUUAGUAAUCUCCAUUCUGCUUGUUUGCGAUCAGAUGUCAUCAGCGUUGAAGAAGACAGGUGA
Molecule: long non-coding RNA, 489 nt
Filed under: Castor canadensis (American beaver)
Lineage: Eukaryota; Metazoa; Chordata; Mammalia; Rodentia; Castoridae
Description: lncRNA (ENSCCNG00000000702.1)
Source: RNAcentral